RNAcentral lists this ribosomal RNA (814 nucleotides) under uncultured bacterium. RNAcentral's name for it is "bacterial SSU rRNA". It matches the Rfam family "Bacterial small subunit ribosomal RNA", at positions 56 to 859 of the family's 1533-position model. The record is from RNAcentral.
UGCAAGUCGAGCGGUACACAGAGGAGCUUGCUCCUUGGGUGACGAGCGGCCCAUUUGUGAGUAAUGCCUGGGGAUCUGCCCGAUAGAGGGGGAUAACUACGGGAAACUGUAGCUAAUACCGCAUAACGUCUACGGACCAAAGUGGGGGCUCUUCGGACCUCAUGCUAUCGGAUGAACCCAGGUGGGAUUAGCUAGUUGGUGAGGUAAUGGCUCACCAAGGCGACGAUCUCUAACUGGUUUGAGAGAAUGACCAGUCACACUGGAACUGAGACACGGUCCAGACUCCUACGGGAGGCAGCAGUGGGGAAUAUUGCACAAUGGGCGCAAGCCUGAUGCAGCCAUGCCGCGUGUGUGAAGAAGGCCUUCGGGUUGUAAAGCACUUUCAGCGGGGAGGAAGGGUCACUAGUUAAUACCUAGUGACAUUGACGUUACUCGCAGAAGAAGCACCGGCUAACUCCGUGCCAGCAGCCGCGGUAAUACGGAGGGUGCAAGCGUUAAUCGGAAUUACUGGGCGUAAAGCGCACGCAGGCGGUUUGUUAAGUCAGAUGUGAAAUCCCCGAGCUCAACUUGGGAACUGCAUUUGAAACUGGCAAGCUAGAGUCUUGUAGAGGGGGGUAGAAUUCCAGGUGUAGCGGUGAAAUGCGUAGAGAUCUGGAGGAAUACCGGUGGCGAAGGCGGCCCCCUGGACAAAGACUGACGCUCAGGUGCGAAAGCGUGGGGAGCAAAACAGGAUUAGAUACCCUGGUAGUCCACGCCGUAAACGAUGUCGAUUUGGAGGUUGUGCCCUUGAGGCGUGGCUUCCGGAGCUAACGCG